Molecule: transfer RNA, 89 nt
Filed under: bacterium
Lineage: Bacteria
Also listed under: 8 other names
Description: tRNA-Ser
Rfam family: tRNA
About the family: Transfer RNA (tRNA) molecules are approximately 80 nucleotides in length. Their secondary structure includes four short double-helical elements and three loops (D, anti-codon, and T loops). Further hydrogen bonds mediate the characteristic L-shaped molecular structure. tRNAs have two regions of fundamental functional importance: the anti-codon, which is responsible for specific mRNA codon recognition, and the 3' end, to which the tRNAs corresponding amino acid is attached (by aminoacyl-tRNA synthetases). tRNAs cope with the degeneracy of the genetic code in two manners: having more than one tRNA (with a specific anti-codon) for a particular amino acid; and 'wobble' base-pairing, i.e. permitting non-standard base-pairing at the 3rd anti-codon position.
Source: RNAcentral
GGACAGGUGGCCGAGCGGCUGAAGGCACCGGUUUGCUAAACCGGCGUACCGCGUCAGCGGUACCGCGGGUUCGAAUCCCGCCCUGUCCG